AGGUUCACAUUGUUUUUCUGGAUUCUUCCGUUAGGAGUUCAGAGGCUCUCGCUCUCAAACUUCUUGGCAAGGUUCUCGAAGGAGGCAAGCCGGCGGAUUCUUUGAUCUACACCUUUCAUGUAUUCAAUGGCUUCAUAGCGAGACUGACCGAAAGCGAAGCGGGAAAAUUGGGCCGAUUGAAAGGAGUCAUCAGUGUGGCUUUGGAUGAUGGAUCUUACCAUCUUCAACCCGUGGGCGCAUUUGCACCUGAAGGAAGCUAGCCUCGCCCAUGGCAUUGGCAUAGAGAUGUGUAAUAAGGAGCAUGGAGGAGGUACAAGAUUUGGGUUGUCUUUUAGUUGAUUUAUGAGAGCACUUACGUAGAUAUAGGCCAAUCUCAUGUAUUGCUCACUGUUAGUUUCCACGUGACAGUAUGCGCAAUAAUAUUGAACGCCAUUUCAAUUGCAAA
This is a long non-coding RNA of Syzygium oleosum, 445 nucleotides long. RefSeq lists it as uncharacterized. The record is from RefSeq and is a predicted model, not a curated record. The transcript has 3 exons. NCBI's taxonomy places the organism in Eukaryota, Viridiplantae, Streptophyta, Magnoliopsida, Myrtales, Myrtaceae.